GACGAACGCUGGCGGCGUGCUUAACACAUGCAAGUCGAGCGGUAAGGCCCUUUCGGGGGUACACGAGCGGCGAACGGGUGAGUAACACGUGGGUGACCUGCCCUUAGCUCUGGGAUAAGCCUGGGAAACUGGGUCUAAUACCGGAUAUGACUCCAUGACGCAUGUUGGUGGGGUGGAAAGCCUUGUGCGGCUAGGGAUGGGCCCGCGGCCUAUCAGCUUGUUGGUGGGGUGAUGGCCUACCAAGGCGACGACGGGUAGCCGGCCUGAGAGGGCGACCGGCCACACUGGGACUGAGACACGGCCCAGACUCCUACGGGAGGCAGCAGUGGGGAAUCUUGCGCAAUGGGCGAAAGCCUGACGCAGCGACGCCGCGUGGGGAUGACGGCCU
This 388-nucleotide ribosomal RNA is filed under the name uncultured bacterium. RNAcentral's name for it is "bacterial SSU rRNA". It matches the Rfam family "Bacterial small subunit ribosomal RNA", at positions 28 to 417 of the family's 1533-position model. The record is from RNAcentral.